UGGGGAAUAUUGCACAAUGGGCGAAAGCCUGAUGCAGCAACGCCGCGUGAAGGAAGAAGGUCUUCGGAUCGUAAACUUCUGUCCUUAGGGAAGAUAAUGACGGUACCUUUGGAGGAAGCCCCGGCUAACUACGUGCCAGCAGCCGCGGUAAUACGUAGGGGGCAAGCGUUAUCCGGAAUUAUUGGGCGUAAAGAGUGCGUAGGUGGUUACCUAAGCAGGGGGUGAAAGGCAAUGGCUCAACCAUUGUUAGCCCCCUGAACUGGGCUACUUGAGUGCAGGAGAGGAAAGCGGAAUUCCUAGUGUAGCGGUGAAAUGCGUAGAUAUUAGGAGGAACACCAGUGGCGAAGGCGGCUUUCUGGACUGUAACUGACACUGAGGCACGAAAGUGUGGGGAGCAAACAGG
This 403-nucleotide ribosomal RNA is filed under the name uncultured prokaryote. RNAcentral's name for it is "bacterial SSU rRNA". It matches the Rfam family "Bacterial small subunit ribosomal RNA", at positions 355 to 776 of the family's 1533-position model. RNAcentral also lists the same sequence under 1 other name. The record is from RNAcentral.